GUAUAGGAAUCGGAUGCAUCGGGAUUUAAACUACUUGACUGUUUUUGCACUAAAGGAAAUGAGGAUCAUAGCUCACUGAGGUUUUCUUUUAAGACAUGGCUCCAGUAUGUGGGUCAUUAGUGAUUGAGUUUUUUCCUACCUGCCUUAUAACUCACCAUUACCGAAUGACAAGGGGUCGUUGCUGAAUGAUGAGGGGUACUUAGCCACAAAAAUACACACAAAGCUUAAGGUGAAACGGUAUGCCUCUCAUAAUAUUUUUAUCUUUGGCUAGCUAUCUUGUUGAAAAUGUUCAUGUUGGACAGCGGUGAGUAUUUUGUUUAAGACACUGGAGAGUGAAGAGUGGAGAAUGCUU
This 352-nucleotide long non-coding RNA is filed under the name Oryza brachyantha (malo sina). Its description in RNAcentral is "long non-coding RNA (OBRA_LNC001032)". Lineage: Eukaryota; Viridiplantae; Streptophyta; Magnoliopsida; Poales; Poaceae. The record is from RNAcentral.